AAGAUACUUUUUCCGUCCAACAAAAGGAUGUCUCGACCUUGACUAAAUUUAAAUGCAUCUAUACACUAAGUCACAUCCAGAUAGAUUCAAAUUUUGACAAACUUGAGACAUUUUUUGUUGGACGGGGAAAGUAUAUA
Non-coding RNA from Brachypodium distachyon (stiff brome), 137 nucleotides. Lineage: Eukaryota; Viridiplantae; Streptophyta; Magnoliopsida; Poales; Poaceae. The record is from Rfam.